AUGAAAAAGGGUCCAACCCAACACCGUACGUCCAAGUAUAAAAAGGCAUAUCUAGCGAAACCCUAAAAUCAGAUCCAGAAAAAUCCCAAUUCUCGCCGAAUCAUGGUAUCGUCCGAGGUGAUCUAUGCUCUCGCAAACCCCGUUUUGGGAGUCCUGCUUGUUGGAUACUUUGCAAAGGCCACACCUAUCGCUGAAGACAUGCUAAAAGACUGGAAACGUAGCAACGAGAUCAUACUGGAAUCUUGCAGGGAGCAGAUGAGAGAAAGAGGCUUGGGUGACUCUAAGAUUCCGAAAUGAACCCGUCGUAAUGUGAAUUCGUGGGAGACUACUUUUGGCUUUAUGUAAUAAUAACUACUUCUAAGCUCAGUACGUCUCUCGUCUUAGUUUAGACGGUUCUGUUCUGUACCUUAAUUUAAUGGGAAGGCCUUGUAAGAGAGUGAACGUGUCUUGAUAUGUAUCAAAAAUCUCUUUAUGUUAUCUGAUUUGUUUGGUUGAAUAAUGUGUUUUUGAUGUU
Rosa rugosa (rugosa rose) is the source of this 514-nucleotide long non-coding RNA. RefSeq lists it as uncharacterized. The record is from RefSeq and is a predicted model, not a curated record. NCBI's taxonomy places the organism in Eukaryota, Viridiplantae, Streptophyta, Magnoliopsida, Rosales, Rosaceae. The transcript is spliced from 2 exons.